This is a long non-coding RNA of Carassius gibelio (silver crucian carp), 636 nucleotides long. RefSeq lists it as uncharacterized. Lineage: Eukaryota; Metazoa; Chordata; Actinopteri; Cypriniformes; Cyprinidae. The record is from RefSeq and is a predicted model, not a curated record. The transcript has 4 exons.
CACAGGUCGGGGGGCCAAGCCAGACUGCACCCACCCCUGAAACCCAGGAUCACCUCGGGGAGCGUACCAGAAGAACCAGACGGACGAGAGUAUAAAAAAAUGAACAAGGUUUUAUUUGGUUAAAAGCAAUUUAAAAGUUCAGUGUUCCUUCCGUGUCUCCCGACCAGAACGGAGCCAGACCUCGGACGCCGGGAAGGCGUGGAGUCGUCAGCAGUUCGUGCCUGUACGGGGCCAGCAAGAGCCAGGAUAGUCUGUCACCCGUCCCGGAGUGAGGGGGGGGUAUCCGGGGACAUCACAUGCAGCAUUCGGCCCAGAGAAUCCUGCGAUCUGCACAGCGGGGGACAUCACAUGCGGCGUUCGGCCCAGAGGAUCCUGCGAUCUGCACAGCGGGGGACAUCACAUGCAGCAUUCGGCCCAGAGGAUCCUGCGAUCUGCACAGCAGAGUAGGUAAUCAACAGCAAGUAUGUGUUCUUAAAUAAGUAGUGGGGCUUACGGCUGGGAGAGGCUUCGGUUGUGACCGGGAAAGGAAUAAUUCUUGUGUCCACCUCUUUUCAUAGGGACAUCACAUGCGGCGUUCGGCCCAGAGGAUCCUGCGAUCUGCACAGCAGAGUAAGUAAUCAACAGCAAGUAUGUGUU